UACGUAGGGGGCGAGCGUUGUCCGGAUUUAUUGGGCGUAAAGCGUGCGUAGGCGGCUGCGCAAGUCGGGUGUGAAACCCCGGGGCUCAACCCCGGAACUGCAUCCGAUACUGCGUGGCUAGAGGUAGGUAGGGGAAUCGGAAUUCCUGGUGUAGCGGUGAAAUGCGCAGAUAUCAGGAGGAACACCGGUGGCGAAGGCGGAUCUCUGGGCCUUACCUGACGCUCAGGCACGAAAGCUAGGGGAGCGAACAGG
RNAcentral lists this ribosomal RNA (252 nucleotides) under uncultured bacterium. RNAcentral's name for it is "partial 16S ribosomal RNA". It matches the Rfam family "Bacterial small subunit ribosomal RNA", at positions 524 to 776 of the family's 1533-position model. The record is from RNAcentral.